Molecule: ribosomal RNA, 446 nt
Filed under: uncultured bacterium
Lineage: Bacteria
Description: partial 16S ribosomal RNA
Rfam family: Bacterial small subunit ribosomal RNA
Source: RNAcentral
CUCCAGACUCCUACGGGAGGCAGCAGUGGGGAAUAUUGCACAAUGGGGGGAACCCUGAUGCAGCGACGCCGCGUGGGUGAAGGAGCACCUCGGUGCGUAAAGCCCUAUCGGCAGGGAAGAAACAGACGGUACCUGACUAAGAAGCCCCGGCUAACUACGUGCCAGCAGCCGCGGUAAUACGUAGGGGGCAAGCGUUAUCCGGAUUCACUGGGUGUAAAGGGAGCGUAGACGGCGACGCAAGCCUGGAGUGAAAGCCCGGGGCUCAACCCUGGGACUGCUCUGGAAACUGUAAAGCUGGAGUGCGGGAGGGGCAGGCGGAAUUCCUGGUGUAGCGGUGAAAUGCGUAGAUAUCAGGAGGAACACCGGCGGCGAAGGCGGCCUGCUGGACCGUAACUGACGUUGAGGCUCGAAAGCGUGGGGAGCAAACAGGAUUAGAUACCCUCGUA